This 492-nucleotide ribosomal RNA is filed under the name uncultured bacterium. Its description in RNAcentral is "partial 16S ribosomal RNA". It matches the Rfam family "Bacterial small subunit ribosomal RNA", at positions 29 to 507 of the family's 1533-position model. The record is from RNAcentral.
AGUGAACGCUGGCGGUAGGCCUAACACAUGCAAGUCGAACGGCAGCACAGUAAGAGCUUGCUCUUACGGGUGGCGAGUGGCGGACGGGUGAGGAAUACAUCGGAAUCUACUUUUUCGUGGGGGAUAACGUAGGGAAACUUACGCUAAUACCGCAUACGACCUACGGGUGAAAGCAGGGGAUCUUCGGACCUUGCGCGAUUGAACGAGCCGAUGUCGGAUUAGCUAGUUGGCGGGGUAAAGGCCCACCAAGGCGACGAUCCGUAGCUGGUCUGAGAGGAUGAUCAGCCACACUGGAACUGAGACACGGUCCAGACUCCUACGGGAGGCAGCAGUGGGGAAUAUUGGACAAUGGGCGCAAGACUGAUCCAGCCAUACCGCGUGGGUGAAGAAGGCCUUCGGGUUGUAAAGCCCUUUUGUUGGGAAAGAAAAGCAGCAGGUUAAUACCCCGCUGUUCUGACGGUACCCAAAGAAUAAGCACCGGCUAACUUCGUG